UAGGGAAUAUUGCACAAUGGAGGAAACUCUGAUGCAGCGACGCCGCGUGAGUGAUGAAGGCCUUCGGGUCGUAAAGCUCUGUCGUAUGGGACUAACAAAAUGAAGGUACCAUGCAAGAAAGGAUCGGCUAACUUCGUGCCAGCAGCCGCGGUAAGACGAGGGAUCCUAGCGUUGUUCGGAAUUAUUGGGCGUAAAGCGGGUGUAGGCGGACUUAUAAGUCAGGUGUGAAAUCCCAGGGCUCAACCCUGGAAGUGCACUUGAUACUGCAAGUCUUGAGUGUGGUAGAGGCUAUUAGAAUUCUUGGUGUAGUGGUGAAAUACGUAGAUAUCAAGAGGAAUACCGGAGGCGAAGGCGGAUAGCUGGGCCAACACUGACGCUGAGACCCGAAAGCGUGGGGAUCAAACA
RNAcentral lists this ribosomal RNA (405 nucleotides) under uncultured Bdellovibrio sp. Its description in RNAcentral is "partial 16S ribosomal RNA". It matches the Rfam family "Bacterial small subunit ribosomal RNA", at positions 355 to 774 of the family's 1533-position model. Lineage: Bacteria; Pseudomonadati; Bdellovibrionota; Bdellovibrionia; Bdellovibrionales; Pseudobdellovibrionaceae. The record is from RNAcentral.